AGCCUGCGGUUUAAUCGGACUCAACGCCGGGAAACUCACCAGAUAAGACAGCUGAAUGAUAGUCGGGCUGAAGACUCUACUUGACUAGCUGAGAGGAGGUGCAUGGCCGUCGUCAGUUCGUACUGUGAAGCAUCCUGUUAAGUCAGGCAACGAGCGAGACCCACGCCAACAGUUGCCAGCUCGUCCUCCGGGAUGGUGGGGACACUGUUGGGACCGCUCUGCUAAAGAGGAGGAAGGAAUGGGCAACGGUAGGUCAGCAUGCCCCGAAUUAUCUGGGCUACACGCGGGCUACAAUGGGUGGGACAAUGGGUAUCGACACCGAAAGGUGAAGGCAAUCUCCUAAACCCAUCCGUAGUUCGGAUUGUGGGCUGCAACUCGCCCACAUGAAGCUGGAAUCUGUAGUAAUCGUGUCUCAAAAUGGCACGGUGAAUAUGUCCCUGCUCCUU
This 446-nucleotide ribosomal RNA is filed under the name uncultured Methanomicrobiales archaeon. Its description in RNAcentral is "bacterial SSU rRNA". It matches the Rfam family "Archaeal small subunit ribosomal RNA", at positions 892 to 1338 of the family's 1478-position model. The record is from RNAcentral. Lineage: Archaea; Methanobacteriati; Methanobacteriota; Methanomicrobia; Methanomicrobiales.